Molecule: unclassified non-coding RNA, 8048 nt
Filed under: Melitaea cinxia (Glanville fritillary)
Lineage: Eukaryota; Metazoa; Arthropoda; Insecta; Lepidoptera; Nymphalidae
Description: misc RNA ENSMCXG00005008102.1
Source: RNAcentral
UAUCGCUUUAUUCCUAUCUUAGUGUCACUAACAUGAAAGAUAUGAUGUAAACUUUAUGGAACAAACUUUCAGAAAAUACUAAACUGGUUAAGAUAGUAAACAGAAAACAAGGGCUAUCUAUAAAGCUAAAAUAAUAUAAUAUCAUUUUCAGUUACGCGACCCCCCCAUAGUAAAACUGGUGAGCCUUUUCCAGUCCUCAUGGAAAAGGAGAACGCAGAGACCAUGCAGAUUACCUCGGAUGUGAGCAACAUCGGUUGGCUUGCCAUGCUUACAACCAGGCUAGCAAGCAACGUGCUUCUCAAUCUCAUCGAUACUAACGAAGGCGACCUUAUGAAGCCAUCAUGAUUCUGACAAUCGGUCUCUGGAUUAAAGCCAUCAUGAAAGAAGAGUUGUCACGCUUGAAAUGGCAGACGUGCCCACCACAUCAGUUAAAAUGGCAAGUUGCAGCAUUGAAUUCCCACACUUCUGUGAAGUUUAAUCCAUGACUGACAGACGAAAUGAAACACUAUUUUAUGCAUAUAAUAAUUUAUGGUAAGAUAAAUUUACAAAGAAAACUGAAGUUGAUUGUUAUUUGUAGCAAAAUUAUAGAUGAUAUGACGAUAUCUUCAAAUAUCCUACCUAGUCAGAAGUGUGACAUUACGAAAUAUACCUAAUAUACGUACUAUCAAAUGAAGUUCUCACAGCAGACAGACGGCUCAGCCUAUUGCAGUCCACUGAUGGACAUAGGCCUCCCCAAAUUCGCGCCAAACAUCCCGGUUUUCCGCAAUUCUCAUCCAGCCUACACUGGCAAUCUUACGUAGAUCGUCGGUCCAACGGGCCGGAGGACGUCCCACACUGCGUUUGCCAAAACGCGGUCUCCACUCCAGGACCCGUCUGCUCCAGCGACCAUCGGUCCUGCGACACAGAUGGCCAGCCCACUGCCACUUCAACUUGCUAAUUCUGUGGGCUAUGUCGGUUACUUUCGUUCUCUCGCGGAUAGUCUCAUUUCUAAUCCAAUCCAGCCCGUUCCAUUGCACGGAAGACUUGAAGUUCUUUAGUCAACUUGACUUGAAGUUCUCAAGUCAAGUUCAAUCAUUAUUUUAUAUGAGUUGUUUAUAUAGUGUGUAAAGUAGUGCAGUUAUUAGUUAGUGUUUUAAGCCAGAAUUAUGUCCAAAAUGUAGAUUUAUCUAAUAUAUUUAAACGAGCAAUUCUUGUAUUCUUGCAGGGGUUGUCAGGGUCAUUUUUUUACCCUUGUUUUCGGGCAAUGAAAAACUGCUACAAUAUAAUUAGACAACGUACGACAAGGUUGUAAUAGCUCAGGUGGAAAAUCAGGCGGUCCCAAACGGAGAAGACUCCGGUUUGAGACUAGAUAUCUGCAGUCUGAAUUUUUUUUUCACUUUUUUUUUAAGUUCCUUCUUUUGUGAGAAAAACUAUUAUUGAGAGCCUUUUAUCAAUGCAUGUAAUUCGUAUCUAAGCAUAAAAAAAAAUCUCAUAAUUUUUUAGUAUUAUUAUGUCGGUAAGAUCAUACUUUGUCGUGUGUAAUUUGUAUUUAAAUAUAAUUUCCAAAAAACCCGAUUUACUAAAAAAAAAAAAAAAAAAACUGAGCUAAGCUCGGUCAUCCAGGUGCUGUUGUAUAUUCUAUGUAUUUGUAUUAAUAAUAGAUUUCUAUUACAGUCAAAUAAUUCUCUUGUUGUAUUGAUUUUACAAUUAUUAUAAUUCUUCUUUUAAAUGAUACGAAAGUAUACUACUUGUAUAUAGACAAUCACUAAAAAACCUUCUUUAAUCGAUUUAAAAAAAAGAAGGUGAUUCUCAAUUCAACUGUAUUUUUAAGUAGUCCUCAUAACUUUCUAUUGGUUGUAUCGAUUCUGAUGACUCUUACUUUUAUCGCAGGCUGGUGCUUUUCAUGUGUUCCCAUUUAGAUUUUUGAGUCAUACUGAAUAAUGUGUAUUUAACUGAUUAUAAGGUCGAGUGUUUUUUUUUUGUUUGCGAGCAAGCAGUUAUGUUUAUUCGUAAAACUUUGUUAUCUCUCUCACUGUUAAAGUCUGGCGUCUAAAUUAGAAAAUUCCUUUACUUAGGGGAAUAGGUGGCAGUAAGGUGUGAUAUAAUUUUAGAAUAAAUGUCAGUUUGAGCAUGUCACCUCAAUAUAUGCAUCUCAGGUUUAAUAAACGUAAUAAAGUUAGAGCUGUUACAAGAAAUGUACCUAAAAUAGUUUCAUGGUUGAAAAAACCUACGUGUCAUGAAGUCAUCAAAGUCUUACAAACUACGGGACCUUUCAAACGUCAAGUUAAAUCUGCAUUUUAUAAUACAUAUAACUUAGGCAAAACUAAAAUUUGUAAACAACUAAAUAUAAACUAAUUUACGAAACAGCUCCUGGGGGGAUUGGGAAUUGGGUCGGCAACGCGCUUGCGAUGCUUCUGGUGUUGCAGGUGUCAUAGGCUGCGGUGGUCGCUUACCAUCAGGUGAGCCGUACGCUUGUUUGCCGACCUAGUUACAAAAAAAAAAAAAAAAUUUGGAUAUAUUGACUUAUCGAAAAAGUUCAACGAAUCUCAUUGUUAUUGUUCAUACUGUGUCAAGUGCAUAUUAGAAGCCUGAGUAUAUAUUUAUUUCUUUAUUUAUUUCAGCUAACAUUUAUUGCACUUACAGUAUAAAAACUAAGGCGUACAAGAAAUAAACAUAAAUAAUAUUAUAACAAAUAAACAGCAAUACGAGAAUACACUAAACAAUUUAACAUAUAAAAGGUACACAAACAAGUAUUGAUCAGUAUUGAUCUAUCUACUUUACAUUAUAUUAACAGGCUUAAAAAAGGUCCUCAAGUCGACUGUAUUUUUUAAAUGUUUGUGUUUCGUAACUUUUUACUGAGUAUACCGAUUUUGAUGCUGCUUGUUUUGAUCAAAAACUGGUUCUUUUCUUUCGACCCUAUUUGAAUCUAAUCGAGAUCUGACGAGUAGUAUUUGAGUUAUCCCUAAUAAUUAGUGUAUAUUUUUGUUGUUUGACUACCUACGUUGUAUUAUUAUGUGGUCAGUGAAACAAAUGUCUUUAUAAAAACUAUUACUUUAUUAGCACAACUUAUUAAUAAAAAUACAAAGAGUUAGGAAACAGAGCCUAAAAAUAAAGGAAUUGUCAAGGGAUGUUUGGUUAUUUACACAUUAAUGAAUAGUAAAUACGGUUAAUUUAUUGGCUAGACUUAUGGUGCUAAUGGUUAGUUACAAAUUUGAGUAAACAGUGAUAAACAAGGUAUAAUGAUAAGACUAAUGAUUCUAAGUAGAGCAAAUGACGUUAAUAUAGUGAUUAAUAAUGAUCAGUAAACAAUAAACAGUGUAAUUAAUAUCUUUUAGUUCUAGGUUGUGAAGUAUGUAUGUAAGACCUACUUUAAAAUAAAAAUAGGAUCUUUGUUGAAGUGCCCGAUUUUUUAGGAGUUGAAGAUGGGAUUGAGGCUUCUUCGUGUUCUUCAUCUUCCGAGAUAUACGAUGUGGUAGAAAUACUCGUAGGAGCCAUAGGAAUUUCUAUGUUCUGCCUUUGUCUUGAGUUGUCGAAGCAAUUGUUGAAGAUUUGGAUUCCUCUUGGUUGUUCGUCGUUGUUGUCGUUCCAACAAAGUCGUAAAGGUUGAAUUCAACGCCAGGGACAACAUUUGUAUUCCAUUUUGCACUUUAGUCUUGAGUUAUAAUUGUAAACUGGCAAGUUUCUACAUACUCUUGUUCUCGGUGCGAAGAUUUUACAUCCGUCGAGGCUCGAAGAGAAAUAAGUGUUGAUGUGUGGGUGAAAUGGGAAAGUAUGAAUACUCGUGGAAUAGGGAGGAAUUAAGAGGGGAAUUGGUAUGUUUAUGUGAAUAGAAUAUUUAUUUAUUUAUUUAUUUUAUACUUUAUUGUACACCACAAAUAUAUUACGAACAAAGCAUAAAGAUAGUUACAGACAGUGAGGUAUAAUGGGCAGACUUAUGGCUAAUUAGCCAUUUCUUCCAGACAACCCAGACAUAAAAAGGAAACUUAUUAUCUAAAUUGGGUAGGUAGGUGGUGUACAUGUAUGACUUAUAUACUUAACUUAUAUACUUAUAACUUACAAAUGUCUACAUUCUAAUACCUAUAAUAAAAUAAAGAAUUUAUUAUUAUUAGUAUGAUCAUAAAAAAUAAACAGAUAAAUAAAAAGAGGAAUAAAAAUAUAAUAUAUAUUUUAUCAUAAACUAAUAAAGUUUGUGAGUAAUGAACGUACAUUGAAGAUAACAAUUAAAUGAAAUGAUAAAAACACAAAUAUACAUACAUAUAUUAUAAACAAAAUGAGAAAAAAAAGAAAGAAGUACAACAGAGAAAGAAUAUGUAGGUUUCGGCGAAGGCGUAUUGGAAGCCACUUGAGCUUGGAACGAAAUUCAGAAACAUAGUCAAAUUUGCGUAGUCAAAAUAUGAACCGGAUGGCAAGAUUUUGAAGUCACUCAAGCCUAUUAAGUUGGUCCUCGGUCAAAUUAGACUAGCUUACAUCUGCAUAAACUAGAAUAGACAAGAGAAGAGAGUUUACCAACAUAAUUUUGGUACGGUUAGCUGGUUAGUAUACAUUUAGAAUAAAGUGAAAAUUUCUCAAUUUUCACUAAGGGUAAAAUUCUAUUACAUAUAGUUUGUUCAUGUAGAUAUAGGAAGUAAUUUUUGUUGAUUCUAUGACGUCGUGUAUAUUUUCUAAGCUAAUAGUUGCAACGAGAUUGUUAUUUGUAUUACUAGGAGCUAAGAGUUCUCUGUAUAGUCGUACUGUUGAAAUGAGAGGUGUGGAUCGCUCCCGAUUUAAUUAAACAAAAUGCUUGUUACAAUGUCAUCUAAUUCUUUUUGUAAUGUAAUUACGGAUUCCAAAAUUUCGAUAGACAGUCGAUAUUUGCUCUGAUGCUCGUAAAUCAAAAUAAUUUUAUUCGUGUUAUCCAAAUAAGAGCUUAGUUUUUGUAGGUAAUCAUUAAUUCAAUAUUUGUCAUCCAAAAUUCGUUUCGUUAAAGUUAGCUAUAGUUAUUUGUAAUUUUUGGUUUAAUAUUUGAUUUUGAUCGACUUGUUGUUUUUCAAACGUUUCGAUACAUUUAUCAUAAUAUUUAGCGUCUUUUGUAUACAGAGUUCCCAGUGGCGUAGCGUGGUUGUCGGUCGCCUGGGGCGGAAGAAAAUUUUGUCGCCCUCUUAUUUAUAAGUAUUUCAAUUUAAUAUAUACUAUAUAUUACAUACAUUAUUAUAGAGAACUUUUCGGCAAGAACUGUCAUCAUUAUUUUGCUAUAUAUAUAAAAUAAAUAUUUGCAAUGUAUGCGUAAGAAAUGUGUUUAUUUACGACAUCACGUUAGAAACCUCUAAAACUAAUUGUGUUCCUCUACUAUAUUAUGUAUGUAUUAUACAUGAAGAGUCCACUGCAAUAAUGAUGAUGCCAAAAAAUAUUUAAAUUUUAACGAGUAAUCCAUUCGGUCACUUGAAAUUAUAUUUAGAAAUCUAGUUUUCUAACUUAUGAUAAAUAUGUAUUUAAUAUAAUGACUACACGGCUAGAACCCUCAACGUCGCAGGUGUUCACGGCAAUAAUGAUAAAUGUCCAUCGCCUCGCACUGCCCGCCAUCUUGCUGUCAAAUCAGUGGCGAUCCCGCCAAUUGUUUUGUCACUCUUUGUAAGUUUGUCGUUCUGUAAGUUAUUUAUUUCUUAAAAUUAUGGCUGAGAACAACGAAAUGACCAGAAAUACGAAAAAAAGAAAACAGACAGGAAGAAUGAGUGAUGUUUUAAAGAAAAUUCGACUCCAAGGACAUGAAAUUGGCGAUGACUGCAAGUGUAAUCGUUUUAAAUGUUUUGAAAUGAUAAAUGAAGACCAAAGAACAAGAAUAAUACGACAAUUUAAUAAUUUUGCGAAAAGAUACGAUAAGGACAAUUAUUUAAGCUGGCUUAUAACCGUUUCUAAUGUACAACGUCAUCGUCCACGAAUAGGUGAAGAAAAUGCGAAAUUACAUAAUAAGUCAUAGUCUCUUGCAAGAUUCGUAUGAUUGGGGAUGAUACUUACGAGUUACCGGUGUGUAGAAAAGCUUUUAUAUCCUUACAUGGUAUCACUGGAAGAAAAAUUCAAUUUCUUCAGAAAUCAUUGACUGAGCAUGGCGUUGUUCAAAAAGAUAAACGGGGGAUACCUACAUGUUAAAACAAAGCUUUCAAAAUUAACUACUGAUUUGAUGUACAAGCAAAUUGACACUCUGAAAACAAUUAAUGGUAAAAGGCCACUAUAAUUUACGUGAGAGUCAAAAAAUAUAUCUGUCGGAUGAGAUAAACUUGUCUAAGAUUCACAAAAUGUAUAAUGAAAACAAUCCAAAUAACAAAGUAUCAUACGAAACAUAUCGAAACUUUUUCAAAAAGAACUUCAUUAAUCAUUCGGUUAUCCCAGGAUGGAUACAUGUUCGACUUGCGAUGAAUUUCAAGCUGAGAAAAAGCAUUUUGAAAUUAAGAUUGCUUCUCUUCCUGAUGGCCACGAAAAAUCUCAGAUUUUGACUCAACUUCGAAGACUCGGAAUUGAAAACUUAGCACACAAGAAGAGAGCUGAAGUUUUUUUUAUGAUAAAAAAAGAAAAGGUCGUUUGAGAGCUAGGCAAGAUGUCAUAACAAUAGCGAUAACAAUGGAUUUCUCAAAAAAUCUUCCUGUACCGAACAUAACUACAAACGAUGUAUAUUAUAAAAGACAGCUGAGUUAUUUUAUGUUUAAUAUUCAUGUGCUUGCUGAUUCCUCAUCUUAUUUUUUCGCUUACGAUGAAAGUAUUGGAAAAAAAGGAUCAGAUGAUGUGGCCUCUCAUCUAUUAGAGAGGAGGUACAGGUACAAGUCAAGACUCUUAUAAUUUUCUGUGACUCGUGUGGUGGUCAAAAUAAAAAUGAUACCAUCUUCAGAAUGUUACACUACAUAGUUCACUGCUGCAAUCACUUAGACUCUGUCACAGUUAUAUUCCCGAUAAGAGGGCACUCAUACAUGGAAUGCGAUCGUAACAUAGCCUACUUAAAUCAAAAGGCUAGGAUUGAACUUCCUGAAGAAUGGGCCGAACGUGUGCGUGGAGCUCGACAGAGACCGAAACCUUUCAAUGUCAUCGAAUGCUCCCAAGAUUCAAGGGCUAGACUGAAUUUUUGAAACCGUUUUACAAAAAAACUUGUCCUUUUCCCAUAAGACCUGUGUGUGAAUUUAGAGUAGACAGAAAUUUUAAUAAUAGUCCAUGGGAAUCAAGUGUGGUGAACACACCAGUUUCUUUUCGGUCUAUGAAGGCAGUUAAUGAGGGCGAAUUCAAAUUACCUGGUUUGGCUUAUAAAGAGAAGCUACCUAUAUCAACAACGAAAUAUAACGACCUGCAGUUCUUGAAAAAGUUCUGUAGGCCUGAAACAAAACGUUAUUACGAUGAACUUCCACAUGCGCAAAUAUUAAAGAUUCAGAAGUUAAUUAAAACAGUCAUUUGGACACCAAUCAUUAUUGACUAUGAACGCAGUGUCCACACACAGUGAUCAUUAUAGUCCUGAUUUUUUAAGACUUAUUUAAGAUUCGAUUAUUUUUAAUUAGUUUACAAUACUCUAAGAAUGAUUAUUUUCUAAAAAAUAAUACUAUUAUGCCUAUACUUUAACUUUAACAAACAAAAUUUUAUAAUCUUCAUGUCUGAGUUUUUUUACACCGUUUGUAAAUUUAAAACCCAAUUAUCUUAAAACAAAAGACGAAGGACAUUCAUCAUUAUUGCAGUGGGCCCUUCACAUAUAAACCUUCCUCUAGAAUCGCUCUAUUUACUAAAGAAAACCGCGUUAAAAUCCGUUGCGUAGUUUUAAAGAUCUAAGCAUAGAGACAGCGGAAAGCGACUUUGUUUUAUACUAUGUAGUGAUGGUGUAACUUUUUGAAAAAUUGGCAAAAAAAAAUUUACUGAAGUUUUUUCCGAUCGAGUGUCUAGAUUACACCAUAAUUUAUGAAAAAAAUUUACAUUGUUAUUUAAUACUAUAACAAACAAAUUGGUUGUCUGUAAAGUUGGUUAACGGACGAUAGUUUGACGUGUCAACGUCAUAACAAAACAUCUCCUCGGACACAUAGGCCAAUUGAGUGGAAGAGAGAUAGAUUCGGCGCAAACGUGCAAUG